Molecule: long non-coding RNA, 1498 nt
Organism: Passer domesticus (house sparrow)
Lineage: Eukaryota; Metazoa; Chordata; Aves; Passeriformes; Passeridae
Exons: 3
Source: RefSeq, a predicted model, not a curated record
UUGGUCCCUGCAGUUUCACAGUGGGGCCGUGGUCCUCCAAGUCCCUGCAAUAUCACAAUGGAUCCUUGGUUCCCUGAGGUCUGGCACUGCAGCAAUGUUCUCCUUGGUUCCCACAGUCUUUUGUACCUCUUACUCUCAGACAAUAGAAGAACACCUGCCAGGUGCCACUUCAGAACAGGUAUGAGCCCCUGGAUCUGGAGAGUCAGCCACAUGAUUUAGAAGAAAAUUAUCUGUCCAUUGAGCCUCCCAAUUAUGAUUCAUGUCUGAGAAGGAUUACCACCUCUAGCAUCAAAAGGAAAGAAGGAUAAUCAUGGUGCCCUGUCUCAGCUUGAAAAGAAAACGGGGGAGCUCAGGGUAUUAGAGUGACUCUCUCCACCGCUACAGCAACAGAGAACUGUGAGACUGAAAAUUGAAAUGAUUGCAUCCCUCAUAAAGAAAGGAUGUUUUAGGGCAAUCCAAGUUACAGGAGCAGAGCCUUCUACAAUACGAUUGCCUAUCAAAAAGGGACAAGCUUGACUAGUAUUUGGUGAACUCUGGGGAGCUCCAGGAAGCCCUUUUAGGAGCUGGAGCUGUCGUGGAGACUGGGAAACUUCAUCCUAGUCCCCUCCAGUGGAUGACAGAAUGGGACUGGAUAACAAAGCCCAUUCGGAGUCUGUCACCAUUAAGGGGGGCUAUCACGGCCUUUACGGACACUGGUAAAAAGUCCAGGAGAGCAGCCGUGACAUGGAAACAGCAAGGACAGUGGCGACAACAUUUGUUAGAUGCAGAUGCCAGGGAUAGUCUACAGACAUUGGAACUUUUAGCUGUAGUAUGGGCAAUGAUGAAUUUAAAAGGUCCUUUGAAUAUUGUGACUGACUCCCUUUAUGUAGCAGGAGUAGCUGCCAGGGUACUAUACUGGGGGAGGGGAUAUCUUUGUGUUUCCUCUCCAACAGGACCCUUGUGGAUCCCCGCAAAGUGGACUCGAGCUGUACCAGAUGUUCAGGACCGUCGCGGCCUUGUCACCGGAGGACAAAGAGAGGGUGCACAACAAGCUGACGCUGAUAUUGCGACCCUAUUUGCAACGCCUUCAGCCCUACUCUAACGACGCGCGACGUGCCUGCGUUCAUCUUCCUGACGAUUAGAUCGAGUGGUGUCAGGACCUUACGGUAGAAGUAAAAGCUCCUCAAUCACAGCCAUGCCUGGACUGUGGGGACAAUAAAUGCGCUGCAUGGAUCGCGCUAGACUGUGGAGGCUGUAAUAAGGUGUUUUGGUUGGAGCAAUCGACCGUUCAGCAAAACUGGUGCCCAAGCUGCCGAUUCUCUUGGAACUUGCAGAACUCGUGGCAGCGAGCACUAAGGGAUUUCACAGGGCUUGAUUUCGGAGGAUCGUUAGGCUUAUAUGAAGCCCCGGAGCAAAUUAUUUUAGCAUAUGUUACUUGGCAACUUAAAACCUUGUGUGAGCGAGUAGAAAAGCAAGUACGUACUCACAUAAUAGCUUAGCGCUGUCGAAAGCUUGUGCC